UACGGGGGGGGCAAGCGUUGUUCGGAAUUACUGGGCGUAAAGGGCUCGUAGGCGGCCAACUAAGUCAGACGUGAAAUCCCUCGGCUUAACCGGGGAACUGCGUCUGAUACUGGAUGGCUUGAGGUUGGGAGAGGGAUGCGGAAUUCCAGGUGUAGCGGUGAAAUGCGUAGAUAUCUGGAGGAACACCGGUGGCGAAGGCGGCAUCCUGGACCGGCAUUGACGCUGAGGAGCGAAAGCCAGGGGAGCAAACGGG
RNAcentral lists this ribosomal RNA (253 nucleotides) under uncultured bacterium. Its description in RNAcentral is "partial 16S ribosomal RNA". It matches the Rfam family "Bacterial small subunit ribosomal RNA", at positions 524 to 776 of the family's 1533-position model. The record is from RNAcentral.